Molecule: long non-coding RNA, 237 nt
Filed under: Linum usitatissimum (flax)
Lineage: Eukaryota; Viridiplantae; Streptophyta; Magnoliopsida; Malpighiales; Linaceae
Description: long non-coding RNA (LUSI_LNC000515)
Source: RNAcentral
UUGUUAACAGUACAUACAUGGGUCUGUUAGCUCCUUGCUUCUCACUUCUGGAGCUCAAAGUUCUCAUCUUUAUCCUCUGAUUCUCCCCCCUCUGCAUUUUGCCUCUCCAAGCUUCAGUCUUGGACGAAACCCCACUUCCUGAUUAUUCCCUUCCCCGCAAUUUCGGAGUUUAGAUUCAUAAGGUAGUAGAAGUUCAUACUGGGUUCUAUUGAUUUCUGUUAUCAGCCAAGGAAAAAC